AAAUGGAAGAGAAAAGUGUUUGCGGUGUUGUUGUUAGGGUUUUGUUUUGGGAGCUUGCUUUUGAUGCAAACUCAGUACACUCGAAUUCUGGCACUCUCUUCUCUGCAGUCUCGUUUCGUUCAGAAGCCGAAAAUUGCUUUUCUCUUUAUAGCUCGAAAUCGGCUUCCUCUCGAAAUUGUUUGGGAUGCGUUUCUUAAGGGCGCAGAAUCUAGAUUUUCAAUUUUUGUUCAUUCAAGGCCUGGGUUUCUGCUCAACAAGGCAACAACAAGAUCUGACUACUUUUUGAAUCGCCAAGUUAACAAUAGUAUACAGGUAGACUGGGGAGAAGCAAGCAUGAUUGAGGCUGAGCGCAUAUUGCUUAGACAUGCGCUGGAGGAUCCUCAGAAUGAACGCUUUGUUUUCCUCUCAGACAGUUGCAUACCUCUUUACAACUUCAGCUACAUGUAUGACUACAUCAUGUCAACAUCAACUAGUUUUGUAGACAGCUUUGCUGAUACAAAAGAGGGCCGCUACAACCCAAAAAUGGCUUCAUCCAUUCCUGUUCGUAACUGGAGGAAAGGAUCUCAGUGGGUUGUUCUCACCAGAAAGCAUGCAGAGAUUGUCGUGAAUGACACUACAGUCUUUCCUAUGUUUCAACAGCAUUGCAAGAGGAGAUCGCUACCUGAGUUUUGGCGGGACCAACCCUUUCCAGCUGAUGCAGCCAAGGAGCACAAUUGUAUUCCUGAUGAACAUUAUGUACAGACAUUACUGGCUCAAGAAGGCUUGGAAGGAGAAAUCACACGAAGGUCAUUGACGCAUAGUUCAUGGGAUCUUUCAUCCUCAAAAGACCCCGAGCGCCGUGGAUGGCAUCCUGUUACUUAUAAAUUCUCUGAUGCUACUCCCAAGCUUAUAAAAUAUAUUAAGGGCAUCGACAAUAUUUAUUACGAGACUGAAUAUCGAAGAGAGUGGUGCACCAGCAAAGGGAAACCAUCCACAUGCUUCCUUUUUGCAAGAAAAUUCACCCGUCCUGCUGCCCUUCGCCUUCUUAAUAUGUCUCUGCUGGGAGCUUCCCGUAAGGCACAAACAAGGCAUGAUUCUUAACAAUGCUGAAGUGGAUUUCUUCUGUAGGUACGAUGUUAGAUAUGAAUAGUUGGCCUUAGCCUAUAUGGAUAAAGGUAAUGCAAUAUGGGGUGAAGGUUAAUGAAGAGAGCUGUAAAUUAGAGUGGAAAUGAAAAAGAAAUAUCGGAAAAGAAAAAUAAAUUUUAAAUAUAGUGUAUUCUUUUUCUUUUUUCUUUUUUUUCUCAUUUGUUCAGUCACAGAAUAAGAAAAAGGGAAAUAUCAUUGUGUUUGAUAUGCAUAUGCUGUAUUCUAAAUUGCUAUAUUUUCACUUUGGUGCAAAAACAAGGGGGUUGUGAUGAUGAAGAGGCCAAUGCGACUCCUACAUCUCUUCGCCUUGAGAAGUAUGAGAUGGUCGUAGUUUUUUUAUUUGCUCACUCUGUUGGUGUAUAUCAUGAAAAUAUAGCAAUUUAGAAUACAG
RNAcentral lists this unclassified non-coding RNA (1516 nucleotides) under Hevea brasiliensis (rubber tree). The record is from RNAcentral. Lineage: Eukaryota; Viridiplantae; Streptophyta; Magnoliopsida; Malpighiales; Euphorbiaceae.